AUGCUUGACACUUACAGUCCCUCCAGAACUUUUACUCUCUGGCCAAAACGUGUCCCAGAUGAUGGUUCCUCAUUUGUACGUACACCACAACAUAUCCCAGAUGAUGGUUCUGCGUGCGUACGUACACCACAACAUAUCCCAGAUGACGGUUCCUCAUGUGUACGUACACCACAACAUAUCCCAGAUGAUGGUUCCUCAUGCGUACGUACACCACAACAUAUCCCAGAUGACGGUUCCUCAUGCGUAGGUACACCACAACAUAUCCCAGAUGAUGGUUCUGCGUGCGUAGGUACACCACAACAUAUCCCAGAUGAUGGUUCUGCGUGCGUAGGUACACCAAAACGUAUCCCAGAAGAUGGUUCCUCAUGUGUACGUACACCACAACAUAUCGCAGAUGACGGUUCCUCAUGCGUACGUACACCACAACAUAUCCCAGAUGACGGUUCCUCAUGCGUAGGUACACCACAACAUAUCCCAGAUGACGGUUCCUCAUGUGUACGUACACCACAACAUAUCCCAGAUGAAUGUUCUGCCUGUGUAGGUACACCACAACAUAUCCCAGAUGACGGUUCCUCAUGCGUACGUACACCAAAACAUAUCCCAGAUGACGGUUCCUCAUGUGUACGUACACCACAACAUAUCCCAGAUGAAUGUUCUGCCUGUGUAGGUACACCAAAACGUAUCCCAGAUGAUGGUUCUGCGUGCGUAGGUACACCAAAACAUAUCCCAGAUGAUGGUUCUGCGUGCGUAGGUACACCAAAACGUAUCCCAGAAGAUGGUUCCUCAUGUGUACGUACACCACAACAUAUCGCAGAUGACGGUUCCUCAUGCGUACGUACACCACAACAUAUCCCAGAUGACGGUUCCUCAUGCGUAGGUACACCACAACAUAUCCCAGAUGACGGUUCCUCAUGUGUACGUACACCACAACAUAUCCCAGAUGAAUGUUCUGCCUGUGUAGGUACACCACAACAUAUCCCAGAUGACGGUUCCUCAUGCGUACGUACACCAAAACAUAUCCCAGAUGACGGUUCCUCAUGUGUACGUACACCACAACAUAUCCCAGAUGAAUGUUCUGCCUGUGUAGGUACACCAAAACGUAUCCCAGAUGAUGGUUCUGCGUGCGUAGGUACACCAAAACAUAUCCCAGAUGAUGGUUCUGCGUGCGUAGGUACACCAAAACAUAUCCCAGAUGAUGGUUCUGCGUGCGUAGGUACACCGCAAGUACAACGAUCUGACCUUAAUAUAGCAUUUAGGUGCCCUAAUACUAGUUGA
Molecule: long non-coding RNA, 1275 nt
Filed under: Oncorhynchus kisutch (coho salmon)
Lineage: Eukaryota; Metazoa; Chordata; Actinopteri; Salmoniformes; Salmonidae
Description: lncRNA (ENSOKIG00005030685.1)
Source: RNAcentral